Molecule: ribosomal RNA, 497 nt
Filed under: uncultured bacterium
Lineage: Bacteria
Description: partial 16S ribosomal RNA
Rfam family: Bacterial small subunit ribosomal RNA
Source: RNAcentral
GACGAACGCUGGCGGCGUGCCUAAUACAUGCAAGUAGAACGCUGAAGAGAGGAGCUUACUCUUCUUGGAUGAGUUGCGAACGGGUGAGUAACGCGUAGGUAACCUGCCUUGUAGCGGGGGAUAACUAUUGGAAACGAUAGCUAAUACCGCAUAACAAUGGAUGACACAUGUCAUUUAUUUGAAAGGGGCAAUUGCUCCACUACAAGAUGGACCUGCGUUGUAUUAGCUAGUAGGUGAGGUAAUGGCUCACCUAGGCGACGAUACAUAGCCGACCUGAGAGGGUGAUCGGCCACACUGGGACUGAGACACGGCCCAGACUCCUACGGGAGGCAGCAGUAGGGAAUCUUCGGCAAUGGGGGCAACCCUGACCGAGCAACGCCGCGUGAGUGAAGAAGGUUUUCGGAUCGUAAAGCUCUGUUGUAAGUUAAGAACGGGUGUGAGAGUGGAAAGUUCACACUGUGACGGUAGCUUACCAGAAAGAGACGGCUAACUACGUG